Molecule: ribosomal RNA, 374 nt
Filed under: uncultured bacterium
Lineage: Bacteria
Description: bacterial SSU rRNA
Rfam family: Bacterial small subunit ribosomal RNA
Source: RNAcentral
AUUGAACGCUGGCGGCAUGCCUUACACAUGCAAGUCGAACGGCAGCACGGGGCAACCUGGUGGCGAGUGGCGAACGGGUGAGUAAUGCAUCGGAACGUGCCAUUGAGUGGGGGAUAACGUAGCGAAAGUUGCGCUAAUACCGCAUAUUCUGUGAGCAGGAAAGCAGGGACCGCAAGGCCUUGCGCUCUUUGAGCGGCCGAUGUCAGAUUAGCUAGUUGGUGAGGUAACGGCUUACCAAGGCGACGAUCUGUAGCGGGUCUGAGAGGAUGAUCCGCCACACUGGAACUGAGACACGGUCCAGACUCCUACGGGAGGCAGCAGUGGGGAAUUUUGGACAAUGGGCGCAAGCCUGAUCCAGCCAUGCCGCGUGAGUG